Long non-coding RNA from Felis catus (domestic cat), 486 nucleotides. RefSeq lists it as uncharacterized. The transcript is spliced from 4 exons. The record is from RefSeq and is a predicted model, not a curated record. NCBI's taxonomy places the organism in Eukaryota, Metazoa, Chordata, Mammalia, Carnivora, Felidae.
CUGACGGGUGUCACGUCAGAAACAGAAACCUACGUGACUUCGCGCCCCUGUAAAUGCUCCACUUGACCAGAAAUGCGGUCUAUUCAGUUAGCCAAUCCCCAAACACCAAGCCAACGCUGGGCCUUCUCACCCGCACAAGUUUUUGGUGACUAAUGGAUUCUAAAGCUGACUUCUUGACCUGUGAAGCAAUCAGACGCACAGGCAAGGCACCUGCUGAAUCCUUCGUGUUCACGCUCCUCUCGUCCUUCCCCAGGGCUGUGGCUGGAAAAGCUAAACUGAAAUAAAGGAAGCUCUCUGUAUCAUGAACAUUUAUGAAGUUUCAUCUGUGUUUUGAAAACUUCUUAACUGCACAUGCUGGACCCUGUCUGAAGCCUUUCUCUGCGCUCAGGAACACAUUAAGCCUGCAAGCAGAAUGAGCAAGAAUUCCAACCCAGCCCCAGAAAUAGCCCUCAACCCUGAGCUGAAUUCCACUUGGGGGACUGAAGG